UACGUAGGGGGCGAGCGUUGUCCGGAUUUAUUGGGCGUAAAGACCUCGUAGGCGGUUUGGUAAGUCAGCGGUGAAAGUUCGGAGCUCAACUCCGAAAGUGCCGUUGAUACUGCCAUGACUUGAGUCCGGUAGGGGAGUGUGGAAUUCCUGGUGUAGCGGUGAAAUGCGCAGAUAUCAGGAGGAACACCAGUGGCGAAGGCGGGUUGCUGGGCUGACACUGACGCUGAGGCGCGAAAGCUAGGGGAGCGAACGGG
This 254-nucleotide ribosomal RNA is filed under the name uncultured prokaryote. RNAcentral describes it as "partial 16S ribosomal RNA". It matches the Rfam family "Bacterial small subunit ribosomal RNA", at positions 524 to 776 of the family's 1533-position model. The record is from RNAcentral.